AAGUGAAGAAAAUUAAUAACACAAUAAUAUUUGAUGGUAUCGAUUUUGAAUUUAUAAGUUUAGUCAUUCGAAGCUUGAAAAAUGUUCAAUGUGAAAUUAUUGAACCUGUUGAAAAAGUAUUUGGAAUUAAAUUAAACAACGGCACGUGGGAUGGCAUAAUUGGAAGAAUACAAAGAGAAGAAGCUGAUCUUGGAGUAAUCUCGUUAUAUGCUACGUAUGACAGAUUUCAAGUAGUGAAAUUAACAGCUCCUAUUAGUAUUACAAGAAUUAUAUUUGUUGUUUCUGCA
Molecule: long non-coding RNA, 287 nt
Organism: Centruroides sculpturatus (bark scorpion)
Lineage: Eukaryota; Metazoa; Arthropoda; Arachnida; Scorpiones; Buthidae
Exons: 3
Source: RefSeq, a predicted model, not a curated record